RNAcentral lists this unclassified non-coding RNA (527 nucleotides) under Hevea brasiliensis (rubber tree). Lineage: Eukaryota; Viridiplantae; Streptophyta; Magnoliopsida; Malpighiales; Euphorbiaceae. The record is from RNAcentral.
AAUUUAGAUUGUAUAUAUGUGAAAGAACUUAAUUCAAGAAACUCCAUGAGGUUAAGAUCAUUGCUGAAUACAUUUGAUCUGUCUGUCAAAAAACAGAUUACUGCUUUCAUGUCCAGCUAGAGGCAUCGAGUAGUAAUCCGUGCGCGUAAAAUCAUCACUGGUCUAUUAAAGAGUGCAAUUUCUGUCGAAAGACGGGGAUUUUGCUAGCGUCUAUUGCCAUUACCAAGCCAGUUAGCCGAUAAUCUUUGAGCUCGUCAGUCCUAACCAGCUGUGUAUGCAAAGGAAAACUGAAGGACCAAGAGCUUAACUCGUGAAAGAUUUCGUCUUCUGCUUUAAUGUAUACAAUAGAUUGAUCACCACUUGGUCCAUUUUGCUUGUCCGCAUUCUUAUGCUUGUAGAUUUUACUGAUUACUAGGUAAAACUUGAAGCAGAAAGAACUCCGGAGCUCCUCUGUAGGCUCAUCCUCUGUAGCCCAAGAGACUUCAUCAAAAAGUGCAUCAUAAAGGGGUGGCAAAAGCUGGGGAGGA